AGUCAACUGGGGAGCUCAGUGAGAUUCUCCUGCUAUACUCUCAUCAGUUUUAAUUUGCCUAGGCCAUUCGGAUUUGGAAGAUUUCUGAGCAAGAUGGCUGAGUGCUGAAUUUAACAGCCAAGAUGAUUCUCCAAUCUCUGUGCUUAUGUCUGCACACAUCAGAGACUCUCCUUUACCUAGCCCUGUUUAUUCCUGAACACAAAGUAAUUAAUACUUCAAAGUGUUAGGUAGCCGGGUAUCCAUCGCUUGCCUUCACUCCUCUGUAAGCAUCAGGGACCACAAAACACAGGUUUUAUUUAUUGCUGUAGGUUCCACAACAUGUGGCAGAGGGUGUGCUCACAACAGGAGCUGGUGAACCACCUAACACUGUGAGUGUAGACAUUGGCACAGGUGUGGAUGAUAAACUCAGGUAAGGGUACAAAUACAGUCUUAAGGCAAUGUACAUUUGAGCCUUUGUUUUUAGAGGGACUGCUUGAUAGACUUUCCAGCAGACCUAUACAAACCCUAGCAGCUAAGGUGCAAGGAUGCAGCUCCCUAUGCCCUGGGUGUGGUGUCUGUAGUCAUACUUCACCAGGCAGCCCCUCUCCUCCCCUUCCCUGGUGCCUCUUUGGCUGCUCUGUCUCUCUUCCCUGGCUUUGAACUUGUUGGCAGCCUCCAAUAACCCCUCUUCAAAGAGCUGAAGGCAAGCCUGAUGUUACAAUUGCCUUGCUUAAUUCCAGACAGGUUUCUAUUAAUCGUAUUAAAUUCGGGUGAACAAAGGGCAUUUAGUCUGUGAUAGAGCUGAACCAUAUCUGGAUUAAUAUAAACAAGAGAAUUAAUCCUGCAAGAGCCACUAUCUGCCAGCAAGUGGAAAGAUGUCAGCAGUGCCCUUGCUAAAGCAGGUUGGAGGGUGGAUGGCAGGAGAGAUUUAACAAGAUUGGUGCUGAGCAUCUGGACUCUGUAUAAAGAGGGGAAUAAAGAUUGCAACUGGAA
Homo sapiens (human) is the source of this 972-nucleotide long non-coding RNA. RefSeq lists it as uncharacterized. The transcript has 3 exons. Lineage: Eukaryota; Metazoa; Chordata; Mammalia; Primates; Hominidae. The record is from RefSeq and is a predicted model, not a curated record.